GCCGGCAUGGCGGAAUGGCAGACGCGAUGGACUCAAAAUCCAUUGUUCGCAAGGAUGUGUGGGUUCAAGUCCCACUGCCGGCA
RNAcentral lists this transfer RNA (83 nucleotides) under Spirochaetes bacterium GWB1_60_80. Its description in RNAcentral is "tRNA-Leu". It matches the Rfam family "tRNA". From Rfam's summary of the family: Transfer RNA (tRNA) molecules are approximately 80 nucleotides in length. RNAcentral also lists the same sequence under 8 other names. The record is from RNAcentral. Lineage: Bacteria; Pseudomonadati; Spirochaetota.